This 254-nucleotide ribosomal RNA is filed under the name uncultured bacterium. RNAcentral's name for it is "partial 16S ribosomal RNA". It matches the Rfam family "Bacterial small subunit ribosomal RNA", at positions 524 to 776 of the family's 1533-position model. The record is from RNAcentral.
UACGGGGGGAGCAAGCGUUGUUCGGAUUUACUGGGCGUAAAGGGCGCGUAGGCGGCCACCGCAAGUCGACUGUGAAAUCUCCGGGCUUAACCCGGAAAGGUCAGCCGAUACUGCGGGGCUAGAGUGCAGAAGGGGCAACUGGAAUUCUCGGUGUAGCGGUGAAAUGCGUAGAUAUCGAGAGGAACGCCUGCGGCGAAGGCGGGUUGCUGGGCUGACACUGACGCUGAGGCGCGAAAGCUAGGGGAGCGAACGGG